Vitis riparia (riverbank grape) is the source of this 1503-nucleotide RNA transcript. RefSeq lists it as uncharacterized. The transcript is spliced from 3 exons. NCBI's taxonomy places the organism in Eukaryota, Viridiplantae, Streptophyta, Magnoliopsida, Vitales, Vitaceae. The record is from RefSeq and is a predicted model, not a curated record.
UUGCUUUCUGAGAGUUUCUACACUUUGUUUCUAUCAAAACCAAAAAAUUGGUAUCAAAGCCUUGUUCUUGAGUAACCUGUGAGGUGAGUGAGCCUAUACACCACAAUAUCUAGAAUGACCUCAGAAGCUUCACUGAAUGCACCGGCACCUCCAGUGUUUGAUGGAAUAAAUUAUCAAGUGUGGGCUGUUCGUAUGGAAGCCUACCUUGAUGCUAGUGAUCUGUGAGAAGCUGUUAGUGAGGAAUAUGAAGUUCCUCCCUUAUCCAACAAUCCAACUAUGGCUCAAAUAAAACUACACAAUGAGAGGAGGCAAAAGAAAUUAAAGGCAAAAGCUAGUCUAUUUGCAACUGUCUCAUCUACAAUUUUCACCAAAAUCAUGACACUGAAGACAACAAAUGAAAUAUGGAACUUCCUGAAGAAGGAAUAUGAAGGAAAUGAACGAGUCAAAGGUAUGCAAGUGCUGAACUUGAUUAGAGAAUUUGAGAUGCAAAGGAUGAAAGAAUCAGAAACAAUCAAGAAUUACUCAGACAGACUUCUUAGCAUUGUUAACAAAGCUCAAGAACAAAGGAAGCUUAUGAGACAAGAAGGAUCUGUGGAGGGUGCAUUUCAGGCCAUAUCUCAGUACAAGAAAGAGAUGCAAAGCAACAAUAAUAGCAGCAACAACACUCAACAGUUUCCACCAUGUCCUUAUUGUAAAAAAUCCAAUCAUCCACAAAAAAGGUGUUGGUGGAGGCAGGAUGUAAAAUGUCACAAGUGUGGUCAGCUAGGGCAUGUGGAAAAGAUAUGCAAAUCUCAACAGCAGCAAGGAGAAGUCAAGGCUGCUGUGGAAGAACUUCAAGAUGAGCAACUGUUUGUGGUAUCAUGCUUUGCCACUAGCAGCUCCUCAUAAACCUGGCUUAUAGAUAGUGGUUGUACAAACCAUAUGGCUUAUGAUCAAGGGCUCUUUAAGGAACUUGACAAAACCGUUACUUCCAAAGUUAGAAUUGGAAAUGGAGCAUAUCUUGUAGUAAAAGGCAAAGGAACAAUGGCAAUUGAAGGCCACACAGGUAACAUGGCGCUGGUGGUGUUGAGUCAGUGCUAGAGAAUGCAGGGUUUUAAAAAUUUUGCGUUACAGGCUCUUAUAGCUCAAAAUUUGCCUCAGAAUUUUGUAUCUCAAAAAAUUGUUUACAGUAUCAUCCAAACCCAGUUGUAAUAAACUUGAAAUCUUUGAAAAUAUCCAACACAUUCAAUUCUUCUAUCAAGAGUUUGAAGAGGUUGCACGCCUCAGAUGAGCUCCACUACUGGCUUUAAACAAUUCCAGGAGAGUGCAUCACAUCUCAUAAUUAGUUCUGGAAGUGGACAAGGACAUGGUUAUGAGGCAGUAGUUAUAGCAAUCAUUCUUUAAAUUUUCAAAAUCAGAAUUAUAACAAAGUCCCCUGCACCAGCCUCCUAAGAAUACAGUCAAGAAAUAGGUUAUUCUUUACCAACCCUCCGUGAAAGUAAAAGAAAAAAAAAACAAAAAGAA